Molecule: long non-coding RNA, 395 nt
Filed under: Mytilus galloprovincialis (Mediterranean mussel)
Lineage: Eukaryota; Metazoa; Mollusca; Bivalvia; Mytilida; Mytilidae
Source: RNAcentral
GACCUUCUUUUCGAGAUAUUUGAGAUUUAAAAUAUGGCGGGAAAAGGCUGACUCGGACUUUUACCUUAUAUUUGCAUUGGUAUUAUUUGGGUCUCAAAACAAAUGAAAGAAAAUCAAGAAUCUUCUAAAUUUUUGGUAAAUGACCUUUCAUGAGCUAUUAAGUCUUCUAUGAAAAAAUAAAUGGGUGUUAUGGGGCAAAAUAUUUUACAUUGUAUUUUAGGUGAAAAUGUAAAGCAAAAUUACAUCCGGGUGAAAUUUGAUCCGGAGGAAAAAAUGUCACAGUAGUUGUUGUUAUUUUUUUAUCUGGAGGAAACUAUUUCCCUGGGAUAUUUUAUCCUUUGCCGUGAAAUUCUAUCUGGGUAGUUAACUUAUUGAAUAGUUAUUAGAAAAAAAUU